Molecule: ribosomal RNA, 347 nt
Filed under: Filobasidium globisporum
Lineage: Eukaryota; Fungi; Basidiomycota; Tremellomycetes; Filobasidiales; Filobasidiaceae
Description: LSU rRNA
Rfam family: Eukaryotic large subunit ribosomal RNA
Source: RNAcentral
AGACCGAUAGCGAACAAGUACCGUGAGGGAAAGAUGAAAAGCACUUUGGAAAGAGAGUUAAACAGUAUGUGAAAUUGUUAAAAGGGAAACGAUUGAAGUCAGUCGUGCUCUUUGGAUUCAGCCGGUUCUGCCGGUGUACUUCCUUUGAGUGGGGUCAACAUCAGUUUUGAUCGCUGGAUAAAGGCUGGAGGAACGUAGCACCCCCGGGUGAACUUAUAGCCUCCUGUCACAUACAGUGGUUGGGACUGAGGAACGCAGCACGCCUUUAUGGCCGGGAUUCGUCCACGUACGUGCUUAGGAUGUUGACAUAAUGGCUUUAAACGACCCGUCUUGAAACACGGACCAAG